Molecule: ribosomal RNA, 435 nt
Filed under: Shigella sp. ECOLY
Lineage: Bacteria; Pseudomonadati; Pseudomonadota; Gammaproteobacteria; Enterobacterales; Enterobacteriaceae
Description: bacterial SSU rRNA
Rfam family: Bacterial small subunit ribosomal RNA
Source: RNAcentral
GUGGCGGACGGGUGAGUAAUGUCUGGGAAACUGCCUGAUGGAGGGGGAUAACUACUGGAAACGGUAGCUAAUACCGCAUAACGUCGCAAGACCAAAGAGGGGGACCUUCGGGCCUCUUGCCAUCGGAUGUGCCCAGAUGGGAUUAGCUUGUUGGUGGGGUAACGGCUCACCUAGGCGACGAUCCCUAGCUGGUCUGAGAGGAUGACCAGCCACACUGGAACUGAGACACGGUCCAGACUCCUACGGGAGGCAGCAGUGGGGAAUAUUGCACAAUGGGCGCAAGCCUGAUGCAGCCAUGCCGCGUGUAUGAAGAAGGCCUUCGGGUUGUAAAGUACUUUCAGCGGGGAGGAAGGGAGUAAAGUUAAUACCUUUGCUCAUUGACGUUACCCGCAGAAGAAGCACCGGCUAACUCCGUGCCAGCAGCCGCGGUAAUAC